RNAcentral lists this ribosomal RNA (447 nucleotides) under uncultured bacterium. RNAcentral describes it as "partial 16S ribosomal RNA". It matches the Rfam family "Bacterial small subunit ribosomal RNA", at positions 330 to 793 of the family's 1533-position model. The record is from RNAcentral.
UCCAGACUCCUACGGGAGGCAGCAGUGGGGGAUAUUGCACAAUGGGGGGAACCCUGAUGCAGCGACGCCGCGUGGGUGAAGGAGCGUUUCGGCGCGUAAAGCCCUAUCGGCAGGGAAGAAGGAGGACGGUACCUGACUAAGAAGCCCCGGCUAACUACGUGCCAGCAGCCGCGGUAAUACGUAGGGGGCAAGCGUUAUCCGGAUUUACUGGGUGUAAAGGGGGCGCAGACGGCAGCGCAAGCCAGGAGUGAAAGCCCGGGGCCCAACCCCGGGACUGCUCUUGGAACUGCGCGGCUGGAGUGCAGGAGGGGCAGGCGGAAUUCCUGGUGUAGCGGUGAAAUGCGUAGAUAUCAGGAGGAACACCGGUGGCGAAGGCGGCCUGCUGGACCGUAACUGACGUUGAGGCUCGAAAGCGUGGGGAGCAAACAGGAUUAGAUACCCGCGUAG